Molecule: long non-coding RNA, 1855 nt
Filed under: Solanum tuberosum (potato)
Lineage: Eukaryota; Viridiplantae; Streptophyta; Magnoliopsida; Solanales; Solanaceae
Description: long non-coding RNA (STUB_LNC007137)
Source: RNAcentral
UUGAAAUCUUGAGAGGAUUGAACUUUUGGCCUAUGACCAUAUAUUUUCCAGUGGAAAUGUACAUUGUGCAAGGAAAAAUUGGAGCUUGGACAAAAAACUGAAUACAUCUUGAAGGUUUCAGUCUGCUUGAUUGAGCAUUUCUGAAAAUAUUAAUAGUUAUUCUGAAAAGAGUCAUAAGGUACAUGGUGAUUUCUUUUCACGUUUUGCUUUGAUCAGAUGUUCUCUCCAAUUAUUUCUUUCCAUCGUUUGCUUACUACAUUGUUUUCUUUAGGAUUUCUCUGUUACUCCAUGUAUCCAUCCAUGUCCUGCUGGUAAUUGGUAAAGUGGACUCAGUUAAUUUAGAAUUUGAACUUGAAGUCGAUUUUUGCCUACUAGGUAUUCUCAAACAUUCAGCUACGCAGGAAAGGCUAUCUAACCACCAGGUUUGGUUUGAAUAGAGAUUCAAAUGUUGUCUUUUCCUAGGUUCUACUUCUAACUUUCCUUUACAUGUUCUAAAUUGUUGGAAAUCAUCAACUUGAUGUUUGUGCUGCAUUCCCCUACUUUUAUUAGAGCGAACAAAUUCCUGCUUAUUUUACAAAAGUCAUUCCAAGUACAUGCAUUACUUCUAUUGAUCCACCAUGUUCAUCCACUAACUUCUCAAAGUUGCAGAGAUAUUUUUAGAUUAUGACAUUUCCUCUAAAAUGUUGAUUAGGAAUCUGUAAAGCUUGCUUAAUGUUGGAUAAUAGAAAAGAUAUGACUUUCCCUAUCUUGAUAUAGAAGUUUACUGUAAGCAGUGAUGUGAAAAUAUUGAUAAAUUUCCAUGUGAAUGAACAGACAAAGAAAAGAUCAUUAAAGUACUAUCUAUGUAGAAGAUCUCAUUUAGAAUUAUAUGUCGGAAUUCUUUCUGUUAUCCUUGACAUUGACAAACAAAUCAUGUUCUUCACAUUUUCCUUAUUCAAUUAUGUAUAUUCAUCAGUUUUUACUUGUCAGAGUAUCUUCUUCUUCAUUUUUAGCCGCUACACCAAAACAAAUUAAAGAAACUAUGAAGUUGGGUGGCUUCAUCCAUGAUGAAGUGAAAACCAUUGACAAUUGCUCUUUUUGUGUAUAUACAUUAGUAUUCUUUAUCAAUUCUCCUAUAGCAUUCACGUUUUUUUAUUUACAUGGCGCUUGAUUCUAGAUAUAUUACUGAAAUGCUUCUUAAAUUGCAGAUAAGCAUAUUUCAUAUUUGGUGUCUUCCAAUCCUAAGCUGUCCAAAAAUCAUUGUUUAUGUAGGAGUACAAUGUAUAAUUAAAUAUACAUACUUUCUAAGGACGUUUGCUAUUUGCCCAUGAUAGAACAAACUAUAUUUUGUUGCAAUGCAGUUGUAACUUACAACCACCUGAUCAUGUGAUUAAUUUGGAAGUUUUGACUGAUAGACUAUGGUGCUCAAACUCUGUUAAAAUGUCAUCGGGUUUGUGUUGGAUCCUUCAAAAGUAGUGUAUUUUUGUUGGAUCUAAUAGGUGCAACAACACUUUUGAAGUACUACUGUUGAAGUUAUUUAGGCUAAUAGGUUUUUUUUGUUUCAGGUUUGAAUGAUGGAUGAUAAACACAAGUGAUAAAUCUAUUGUGAAGGGUGGAUUCAUUUUUCUUGGGGAAAAUGUAGACAAACACAUUAUUUGUGCUCUUUUUUUUGUGAAUUUCAAAGUUAAUUUUCAAUUAGAUGUAUACAAAUGGUGGUGAUGGAGCUACUGGUUCUUACCUAUGAAGUAUGCUCAUGUAGCUAUGGUUGCAAUGAAUUUUAUGGGAAGAGUUAGGCACCUGUAACGUAUUUUGAAGAUUGUUGCCAUAUUUUAAAAAGAAUGCUUAUGCUUCUAUGUUGUUUCAGUGUGAUUUUAGA